Molecule: ribosomal RNA, 491 nt
Filed under: uncultured bacterium
Lineage: Bacteria
Description: partial 16S ribosomal RNA
Rfam family: Bacterial small subunit ribosomal RNA
Source: RNAcentral
GUGAACGCUGGCGGUAGGCCUAACCCAUGCCGGUCGAACGGCAGCACCGUAAGAGCUUGCUCUUACGGGUGGCGAGUGGCGGACGGGUGAGGAAUACAUCGGAAUCUACUUUUUCGUGGGGGAUAACGUAGGGAAACUUAUGCUAAUACCGCAUACGACCUACGGGUGAAAGCAGGGGAUCUUCGGACCUUGCGCGAUUGAAUGAGCCGAUGUCGGAUUAGCUAGUUGGCGGGGUAAAGGCCCACCAAGGCGACGAUCCGUAGCUGGUCUGAGAGGAUGAUCAGCCACACUGGAACUGAGACACGGUCCAGACUCCUACGGGAGGCAGCAGUGGGGAAUAUUGGACAAUGGGCGCAAGCCUGAUCCAGCCAUACCGCGUGGGUGAAGAAGGCCUUCGGGUUGUAAAGCCCUUUUGUUGGGAAAGAAAAGCAGCAGGUUAAUACCCUGCUGUUCUGACGGUACCCAAAGAAUAAGCACCGGCUAACUUCGUG